AGUGAACGCUGGCGGUAGGCCUAACACAUGCAAGUCGAACGGCAGCACAGUAAGAGCUUGCUCUUACGGGUGGCGAAUGGCGGACGGGUGAGGAAUACAUCGGAAUCUACUUUUUCGUGGGGGAUAACGUAGGGAAACUUACGCUAAUACCGCAUACGGCCUACGGGUGAAAGCAGGGGAUCUUCGGACCUUGCGCGAUUGAAUGAGCCGAUGUCGGAUUAGCUAGUUGGCGGGGUAAAGGCCCACCAAGGCGACGAUCCGUAGCUGGUCUGAGAGGAUGAUCAGCCACACUGGAACUGAGACACGGUCCAGACUCCUACGGGAGGCAGCAGUGGGGAAUAUUGGACAAUGGGCGCAAGCCUGAUCCAGCCAUACCGCGUGGGUGAAGAAGGCCUUCGGGUUGUAAAGCCCUUUUGUUGGGAAAGAAAAGCAGCAGGUUAAUACCCCGCUGUUCUGACGGUACCCAAAGAAUAAGCACCGGCUAACUUCGUG
RNAcentral lists this ribosomal RNA (492 nucleotides) under uncultured bacterium. Its description in RNAcentral is "partial 16S ribosomal RNA". It matches the Rfam family "Bacterial small subunit ribosomal RNA", at positions 29 to 507 of the family's 1533-position model. The record is from RNAcentral.